GAUGAAGAACGCAGCGAAAUGCGAUAAGUAAUGUGAAUUGCAGAAUUCAGUGAAUCAUCGAAUCUUUGAACGCACCUUGCGCCCUUUGGCUAUUCUGAAGGGCAUGCCUGUUUGAGUAUCAUGAACACCUCAACUCUCAUGGUUUGCCAUGAUGAGCUUGGACUUUGGGGGUCUUGCUGGCCUACGGUCGGCUCCUCUCAAAUGAAUCAGCUUGCCAGUGUUUGGUGGCAUCACGGGUGUGAUAACUAUCUACGCUUGUGGUUUCCCACCAGGUAACCUUCAGUGAUGGAGGUUCGCUGGGGCUCAUAAAUGUCCCUCCACAGUGAGGACAGCUUUUGAACGUUUGAUCUCAAAUCAGGUAGGACUACCCGCUGAACUUAAGCAUAUCAAUAAGCGGAGGA
RNAcentral lists this unclassified non-coding RNA (401 nucleotides) under soil metagenome. RNAcentral's name for it is "partial contains 5.8S ribosomal RNA, internal transcribed spacer 2, and large subunit ribosomal RNA". The stretch from base 1 to 121 matches the Rfam family "5.8S ribosomal RNA", at positions 35 to 154 of the family's 154-position model. The record is from RNAcentral.